This 573-nucleotide long non-coding RNA is filed under the name Linum usitatissimum (flax). RNAcentral describes it as "long non-coding RNA (LUSI_LNC003656)". The record is from RNAcentral. Lineage: Eukaryota; Viridiplantae; Streptophyta; Magnoliopsida; Malpighiales; Linaceae.
UAACAACCAAUAUAUACGAUCAAUGCUUCAAAAUGACAAUAGAGAUUCCAACACAGAAUACACAAGCUGAUCUGGCAUCACUAAGUUGAGGUAGAUGACCAAUGAUUCUAGCUAUCAAAUUUCAAUAAGAGAUUCUAACACAGAUUUGGCAUCACCAAGUUGCCACAAAAGCCAUAUUAUCUAACCAGCCAAUAUCGCAAACAAAUGCUUCAAAAUCCAGCAGCUUAAGGAGAAUCCAUCAACUUGAAGUUGAAUAUGUCGUCGCUCCACUAUCCAUCCAGCUUAGCUCUAACUCGGGCGAUGAUGGUGGACUCCAACUAGGUGAAGAAUCGAGUUUUCUAGCCGGAGAAAGUUCGAAGUCCUUGCUUCCUUCUUCGAUUAGCAGCUUGUAGUUCCUCUCAGGACUCUCAGGCUGAGACAUAAGAGGACCAUAUGCAGAAUAAGUAAGAGAUUCCUAAACUGAGUAAUCAGUAAACAAAGUGGAAAGAUCAGCUGUGGAGAAUCAGAACUACUGACCUCGAAACGGGCAGGCAUCGCAAUUACCCUUGGAGAUCCGAACAGCAUAGAACAAUC